AUUAAAUGGGUGUAUUGGACUGUACAGAGGGCUACAUCAGCUUGGAAGGAAAAGUGAUGCUCCCACUGCCCCGAGACCCCAAGCAAGCUCCUUUCUGGCAGGCGGUGGCAGUGCCCUGCUGACCAUCCUGCCCACCCAGCAGCCCCUGAGCCCACGGGUGUUGAAGGUCACACCAGGGGAGCGCUGAGUACUGCCAACACUUUGGCUUUUAUUCUCCAGGCUUGGCUGUAGCUGCAUCCCUGUGGCUCUCCACUCCCUCUCCCCCUCCAUCUUGUCAGCCGUUCUCUUUCGGCGGCACUUAAUCUUCUCAUCGUUCUCCUUCUCCCUGCUGUGCGCUGCUGCUUUUGUUCCUCCACUCUCAGAAGGAAUCUGACCUUUGCUUUAUUUCACUCCUGGCUUUUACUAACUGGGCACCAGCUUUAUUUCCCUACCUCUGCCUCCCUACCCCUACUCUUUAUGCGUAAAUUCAGCAUCUGCAGAGAGCCUACGCGAAGCCUCCUGCAUUCAGCCGCAUCCCUAAGCACGCAGCCCAGGAGAUGCUCAAGGGCGUGGAGGUGCAGGUUUGGAAAGGGAUGAACACACACCAUCGUACCCACAGCAAAGCAGGGCUGUUACGAAACUCCCGUUCAUGCUUUCCCAUCCCUUACGCGGCUCACUGGCAGAACAGCGUUUCUGUGCAUAACAAAGCAGGGUCAGCAAAUUAAAUAUAAAUUAAAUAUAAAUAACUGGCAGAUAAGCAGCUGCGCUCCGAAGGUGGAUAGUCAGUAUGUCUGUCUCCCAGGACUGCAGUCGCCGGCAGAUCCAUAGCAAUCCUGUCGCAAGAAGAGAAAGGAAGGGUGACCCGUCGUUUCCUGCCUCACGCCUGCUGGGAAUUUGAGUCCCUUGUCAGAGCUCGUCACCACGUCCCCCGUGCCAGCCUCGGGGCACGCCAUGCUCUGCUUCACCGACUGAAUUUAAACCUCUUACGUGCUGCUCAGUUGGAGGGUUUCAUAUUAAGUGUCCAAAAUCAGGUGGGUCCGUUCUGCAGCAAUGAGAAAACAUGGUAUUUCCUCUCUAAGAGUGCCAUAAAUAAGCAUAUAGGGUGCAGAGACGGUAUUGUAAAUGUUUAA
This 1109-nucleotide long non-coding RNA is filed under the name Parus major (Great Tit). RNAcentral's name for it is "lncRNA (ENSPMJG00000002619.1)". Lineage: Eukaryota; Metazoa; Chordata; Aves; Passeriformes; Paridae. The record is from RNAcentral.